AUCCAUCUGACAAGUCCCAAAUAGAACGAAGUGCGCGUCCUGGAU
Schistosoma haematobium is the source of this 45-nucleotide non-coding RNA. NCBI's taxonomy places the organism in Eukaryota, Metazoa, Platyhelminthes, Trematoda, Strigeidida, Schistosomatidae. The record is from Rfam.